UACAGAGGUGGCAAGCGUUGUUCGGAAUUACUGGGCGUAAAGGGCGCGUAGGCGGUCCCGUAAGUCCUGUGUGAAAUCCCUCGGCUCAACCGAGGAACUGCACAGGAAACUGCGGGACUUGAGUUCGGGAGAGGGAAGCGGAAUUCCGGGUGUAGCGGUGAAAUGCGUAGAUAUCCGGAGGAACACCGGUGGCGAAGGCGGCUUCCUGGACCGACACUGACGCUGAGGCGCGAAAGCCAGGGGAGCAAACGGG
Molecule: ribosomal RNA, 253 nt
Filed under: uncultured bacterium
Lineage: Bacteria
Description: partial 16S ribosomal RNA
Rfam family: Bacterial small subunit ribosomal RNA
Source: RNAcentral